UUUAAUCUUUGCAAUUUUAUUUAUAUAAAAAAAUAAUACAUAAAACAAAUACAAACACACACAUACACUUUCACUAUAUCUUUUCUUUUCUUUUUUUCUUUUCCCUUUUUCUUUUCUUUUCUUUUUUCUUUUACAUCCACAUUACAAAUUAUAAAAAUUCAACAACUAAACAAACAUUACAUCAAACACUAUAGAAAUUACAAAACAGACCCCCACAGAUCCUUUACAGUGCAGGGAAGCCUUUUGGACCCGUAUGAACAGUGGUGGCGCGUCUUCCCACGCGCCACCGUCACUGGCGGCGCGUGGGUUCACGCGCCGCCGCACAAAACUUGGAAGCCGGGUGGAUCUGGCUCAGUUUCAUCUCCUCUUCCCUUCUCUGCUGGUGGUGACAACGCCGUUACCUGCAAAACACCCAAAACGCAACAAGCAAGUCUGUUUCUCUCCUUAGAUCUGUUUCUUCCUCUUUCGGAUCUGCUUCUCUCUUUCUUCAGAUGGCAGAUCCGUUGUGAGGGGGGGAGGCCACUGUGUUAGGCCGCGAUGGUGUGCAGGCGCUGCUGGAGGAAGGAGGCGGACCGAUUUGGGUUCUGUGGGCGCAGCUGUACCGGGUUUGUUCGUUGACCCGGAGAGGGAGGCCGUUGGGUCGGCUGAGAGAGGAGAGGAGCCUGGUGAGGGGGCGGCCGGCUUGAUCUCGGCGAGCUGGGGCUGUUGAAGCUGUGGUGAAGAUCUGUUUGAGGAGAGGGUCUUGGCUGGGCGUCUGCUGUGAGCGGCUGGAGGAGCAGAGGAGGAAGUGGCCUUGUGGGGGGAGCUGUGAGGGUGGUCUCUUGUGGGUGCUCCGGUUUGUUGCAAUGGGAGGGGGGAUGCGUUGUUGGCUGGAAAAGGAGAAGAAGAUGGGGAAAACGGUGUGGAGAGAGCUGCUGUUUGGGGGGGCUGUGGCCGAAAGAGGUUGAUGUGGGUGUGGUCGGCAAAGGGAGAAGGGGAGCUCUGGUUUCCUUACCAAGGGAAGGGAGGCGGCUUCAAGAAGAUGAGAGGACAGGGAGGGGGCUGCCCCCGGUUUGGUUUUGAAAGAGAGGGAGCUAUCCCUUGUUCCCGGCUGCCGAGGUGAAGAAGAAAAUCAAAGGGGAGGGGCGGCCAGCCUCUGUAAACAGGGAAAGGGAGGCUUGCGGCCGCCCCUGCUCCCUCUGGUUUUUUCUCAAUGGGAAUGGGGGGCGCCGCUCCUUGCCAAAAAAAACAGGUUUAGGGUUAGGGUUUUCUUUUUUGUAUUUUUCUGAUGUUUCCAAAAUUGACCCCCCCUUGAAAAAAAUGUAUAGCAUGGUAUUUAUAGGAAAAGUUUUGCUAGGUUUUCAAACUAGUCCCUCAACUUUUCCUUUCCUUCUCUUUUCCUUUUUUUUUGUAAAUUUUGAUUUUUCUUAUUUUUUGUAUUUUUGAAAGCGAGCAAAUAUCAACAUCGACUCAAUGCGGAAAAUCAAUGAUUUUAAAAAUAACGCGUUAAAAGUUGAACGCGUUCCAAAUGUCUUUGAAAAUUUAAAUUCUUUUGAGACGAUGCUAAAAAUGCUAAAAACGAUGCAAAUGUAUAAAAAAUGUAUUUUUUGGAUUUUCAAUGUUUUUUCGCUAGUUUUGGAUUUUUCAAUUUUUAUCAAAACAUGGGUCAAAAAUUGGGUAGCAACAGAUGCCCCCUCUUUACAAUGCUUACGAAGCAAAACUCCUCAAUGUUUCGCAUAGUAAGCUUUGUAAAGAAAAACUCUAAAUGUUCCCUUUUUUUUGUGUGUGAGAUCCCAUCGGGCGAUCUCCUUGAACCAAAACCAAAAUCUGCGUGGUUGGGCUAACCUGAGAUCUCGUCCGACGAUCCCCUUUAACCAGAACCAAUAUCCUGUGUGGUUGGGCUAACCUGAGAUCCCGUCCGGCGAUCCCCUUUAACCAGAACCAACAUGAGAUCCCAUCUGGCGACCUCAUUAAACCAAAACUAAAAAAAUGUGUGUAACUCAGUCAACCUGAAAUCCCAUCUGGCGAUUCCCUUUAACCAAAGCUACAUGAGAUCCCAUCUGGCGACCUCACUAAAUGGAACUAAAAAAAUGUGUGUAACUCGGUCAACCUGAAAUCCCAUCUGGCGAUUCCCUUUAACCAAAGCUACAUGAGAUCCCAUCUGGCGACCUCACUAAAUGGAACUAAAAAAUGUGGUAGCUCGGUCAACCUGAAAUCCCAUCUGGCGAUUCCCUUUAACCAAAGCUACAUGAGAUCCCAUCUGGCGACCUCAUUAAACCAAAACAAAGAAUGUGGAACCAAUGGUCUCAUUAUAAUGGGUGACGAACCCAAGAAAAAUGAUGGUCUCAUUGUACGGGUGACGAACCCAAGAAAAAAUGAUAGUCUCAUUGUACGGGUGACGAACCCAGGAAAAAUGAUGGUCUCAUUGUAUGGGUGACGAACCCCAGAAAAAUGAUGGUCUCAUUGUAUGGGUGACGAACCCAAGAAAAAUGAUGGUCUCAUUGUAUGGGUGACGAACCCAAGAAAAAUGAUGGUCUCAUUGUAUGGGUGACGAACCCAAGAAAAAAAUGAUGGUCUCAUUGUAUGGGUGACGAACCCAAGAAAAAUGAUGGAAAACGGUCUCAUUAUGAUGGGUGACCUACCCAAACGGAAAGAAUGUGAAGUGCGGUCUCAUUAUAAUGGGUGACCUACCCAGGUGGAAGAUAGAAAAAAUGUGAAGUGGUCGCGUUAUAAUGGGUGACCUACCCAGGUGGAAGAUAGAAAAAAUGUGAAGAUAGAAAAAAUGUGAAGUGGUCGCGUUAUAAUGGGUGACCUACCCAGAUGGAAGAUAGAAAAAUGUGAAGUGGUCUCAUUAUUAUGGGUGACCUACCCAUGUGGAGGAUAGAAAAAAUGUGAAAUGGUCUCAUUGUUAUGGGUGACCUACCCAACUGAAAGAUGUGAUGUGACAAGUGUGAAAAAUGGGACUUACCUGGCGAAGUCCUGAAGGGAUGGUAGAAGAAGGGCCGGAAAACUUGGUGCUUCUUGAUAAUUCUUGAUCGCAGGGUUUGAAAACUCGAUGCUUCCUGAUUGUAAGGUUGAUCUUUUCAUUUCUUUGAGAUUUUCCUAACAAUAAGGUUUAUCUCAUCUUCUUCCCGUUUCAAGGUCACAACAUGAUUCUCUGUCAUUAUCAGCUCAAUGAUUCUCCUUUUUUGGUCCCCAAUCUUGCUGAACUACAUUGAGGAUUUUUCUUGCAACAAAACAAAAUAAAAAAUAUGUGUAAUGUUUUAACGUUAGAUGACAUGCAUGCAUCCUUACCUGAUGUGAAAUAUAGGUCCCCCCCUUCGAUGAUCCAUCAUCAUAGGGUGCCUUUGUUUGCUAACCAAAGCCUUCUUUGCUCUUCCCAUAUACUGACUCAUUCGUGUGUUAGCCUUCCACUCAAAUGUAAGUGUAGUGCCCAUCUCGGGCUGUCCACAACAAUUACUGCUCUCGCUGUUUAUCAAGCUUGACUCUGCCCCCAAGUGUGGUGUUGCUUGAUUCAUCGUGAAGGAUUUUCUCUCCUGGAUUCUUCUGAGAAUUAUCCUCUGAUUGGUUGUGUGCAUCAUGCCAACCCAUCAAGAUUGUUAAUCAGUCAUGAACUUGCCUCUAGUUGAAACAAUACUUUUCAAGUAUAUGUUAUUACCAGCCUUUUUGGAACUGUCAGGUUAUCCAGACAUGGAUCUCAUACCUUGCAGUGAAAGACUCAUCGUUGUAUGCUCAAUGUUCUUUCUCAUGGAUUCCUCUCAGCUUGUCAAAUCAGAUAGUGGAAAGAAAUGCAGUGGCAUCAUCAAUGAUGUUCAUUUUAUCACCCAUAUUCAUGCGAUGAAGUGCGCCUUCGAGCUUCAAAACAAGAUGGUCCCACAGUCAGUCUUGGUGAGUGCAUCCUUCCAAUAUUCAUUCCAAUACAACUAUGCGAUAACAUCGUUCAAAAGUCAUAGCCAUGUUGGAGAUGAUAAUAUGACGUUAUCCUUCAAGUACAACAUUGUUCCGCAAUCAAUCUUGGUGGUGUGCACAUCUUUUCAAUAUUCAUUCAAAUACAACUGUAUUCCCACAUCGGUCGAUAGCCAUGUUUCAAAAGAUGAUGAUAUGAAGAUUUCCUUCAAGUGUAUCUUUGCUUUCCCGAUUGUUGACGGGGUUCACUAGAUCAUGGACUAUCUUUGAACAACAUUGCCCCCAAUAUGAUCUGAAUGUGCUUGUUCAUUGAUUAUCUUUCUUUGAACACCAUUGUCUUCAGUACACUGAUUCAUCAUUUAAUCAUCUUUCAUUGCCCCCAGCUGAUCUGAAUACUGUUUGUUUUCCUACCCAUGAUCCACUGUAUUGCCUCCAGGUGGUCAACUUUUCAAGGAGUGUCGAGAAAUGUUGAUGUCGUUCUUGUCAAGGAUUUUGCAAAUUCAAUCGAUGUUCUUCUUUGUUCGACAAUCUUUCUUGUUCUGGAAUCAAAUCUCAUAUUUCAAAGGUCAUGUCUAUUCAAGUCUAAUUGUUGAAAUAAAAUCAAAGAGAUGUCUGUUUUUGAAAGUAUUUUUUUUUAAAUUCAAGCUUCUUUGGUCAAAGACCCAACACACUAUUCAAUGCAAUCCUUUGAUUAUCUUGUAUUUUGAAAACAGAAAUGACCCGUUGUAAGACUAAAAUGGUUUUUUUUUUUCAUGGUUCUUUGUAUCCAUUUUAGACUCUGAUUUCGGGUAUAUCUUUUGAUGGUCUAUGAUGAGGUGACCUUCUGUGAAUUUCAAGAAACAAAAGACUCAAGUCAAAACUUGAGGAUUCAUCAAGAAAGAUUGUUGUUUUUUUUUUUUUUUUUAACACCAAUUUUAUCAACAUGCAUAUUAACCAGUAACUUAAUCCAUGAAGCCACGACUCUUAUGGAAAAAACUCUUCAAGUUUUGAGAUCGCCAUUUAUCGGUUCAAAUUGCUUACUUGAUCAAAAAGGGCUUUUAAAAGCACGUAAUGCAGGCUAUGGUUCAUGGCUAUGAAAGAAAGGAAUUUCAAAAGCUCAAAAGGUGUUUGAGGGUUUCAAAGCCCUAGGAUCAAUAUCAACUAUUCAUCAACUUUUUUCUUAUUGUCAUUGUAGAGAAAGUGACAUAUAACCUUGUUAAUAUCAAAUUCAGAAUUCUCUUAACAUAGGUCAUAAUGCUAAUCCAACUUUUUCUCUGAUGAAUAAUGAAUCUAAAAAUUUUGAAGACACUAAAGGCUUUAUCCUAGACACACCAAAAGACAUGAAACUUGAUUUUUUUUUUUGGUGUUGACUUUUGGCAUUUGUUGUGUCUUUCUUCCAUUGAAACCUCUUUUGCCCCUCUUAGAAUUGAUAGGCAUUCUCCUUCAUUUCCACUUUUUUUUACUUUUACAUAGCCUUUCUCAAAGUUUUCUUGGAUGCCCUUCACUCUAUGACUUUUUGUUCUAGCCCUUUCUCAAUCAUUGGGCUUUUAUUCUAAGCCUGUCUUUUAUCCAUUAAUCCUAUCACUGUCUUCAAAAUAUCUCUCAUUUGCCCCCAGUGUGGGGUGUGAUCCUAGUCAGGGUUUUUUAUGAAAGGAAUAUUCUAUCCAGCUCAAAAUGGGACUCAAGGGAUAUAAUCUUUAGAAAGUGAAGGGAUAUCAAAGAUGGCCUUUUCUCAUUUCAAGCAAUGGUCGGUUAGAACCGAUAAAUUUUGACCUCGUCCAGUGUAAUGAUUUGGACUUGUAAGAAUCAUGAUUCACGAGUCCAUAACAACUGAAUCCACUACAUGUCAUUAUGCAUACUGCUAAAACUUAGUUAUAUGAUGUGUGGUUCAGUUUCAGGAGGUAUAAGUUCAAAAUUGUUUCGUCACCUCAUGUCAUUUUCAAGCAUCGAGUUAUUUCUGCAAUCAAAAUACUUUUAAUCUUCAGGAUUGAUUAAUCUUAAUCGCAUGUUGGAGCUUGAUCAAAAUAUUUUGUAAAAAUACCCUUUGAAAGAAGCAUCUCUUGAUUUCAAAACAACAGGAAGACAAAGGAAAGACAUGUUUCGUUCAAGGAUGAGAUGUGACCCCAAACAAAAUGCAAGAUGGCAAAAAUUCCAUAACAACAUGAUUGACAGUUCAACGCCCUUCUUGGAUCAGCCUCUUUGGCAAUAUCUCUGUUUUGCCAAGCAAUUCCGAUCACUCGUCAUUCUGAGGAUGUUCUGGCGACAAAAUGAUCGAUGACAAGCUCCUUCACAGAUUGAGCUCGAUUCUUGAAACUCUUGCAUUUGUUGAACUGAAAUGGUCGAGGACCCCACCAUGACAUCCCAUCUCUUGUUUGGAUUAUACCACCUAGAAAAUGGUGGUUGCAUGGGAUCUGUCAGAGUCAGGCAAAAGUCUGGAAUCUGGCAGAUGCUGGUAAAUAAACCCACAUGGCAAAGGAAUGUCUAUCUUUGGCAAAGACAUUGGAGUAGUUGGUGCUUUGAGCGAGACUUGACUAGGCAAAAUAACUGAGGUUUCUCAAUCGAGAGUCAUCUUCUGAUUCAACUCUCUUCACAAUUCUGGAAUCCAUGACAAAACCUUCAAUCCUUCACAUCUUCACAGCUAGCUUAAUUCUUUCGAUGAUCUUCACAACAUCAUGUCAUUCUUCCAAUGUUGUUGUGGUCGUUUGUGGAUUGUUGGAAACCUUCCAACAGCUAGGUAAUCUUGCGAGCGCAUAGAAUCAUGCAGCGCUAUCAAUGUCAAUGUGUUAAAUGAUGCAUUGUUUUUUUUUUUUUUUUUUGGGUUUUUUUUCUCUUUUUUUUUUUUAACAUCUUGUGCCGCUGAACUGGAAUUGAGCUAACAGUUGGGGUAACGUCAAAGAAGGCUAACACACCAUGCACAGAAGGCUAGCAAUUAUUUGGUGCCAUUGAAAGAUGUGGAGGCGAUGAAUAAUUAACAAUGCAACUGAACAAGAACAGAGGUUGUCAUUAGUUGAUGACUGAAGGCAUUGCUGCGAUUAUUCAUGACUGAAAAAGAAGAGGUGCAACUUCCAUCGGACAUGGACAAACAGUGUUCCCACAGAAAAUCGUGCAAACAUUCUCUUUCCAUUUGAUGCUCAACACUUGUUCAGGGAGAUCUGAGUCUAGCUACUUCACCUUUGAUGCUCUUAACUUCCCUUUGAUAACGAGCCUCUCUGACCCCUUUCUUUAUUAUCCAUCUUUUCAUUCCAAUGUAGUAAACCUUGGAUAGGGGAACCUAUUUUCAACUUGGUACAUGCAUGAUAAAUGUAUGAACAUGUAAACUAUAUGAAGAACUCGCCCUUCGAGGGGUGACAAUAUGGUCGUAACUCUCGUAUGAUGAAACAAAAAUCUUGAUUCUUGCCCAAACUCUACAAUGAAAAUUUUCUGAGUGACGGCCAUUGGGUCACCCACAAGUCUUGAGUUCAAGAUGCUUCAAGAAGGGUUUGCCCUGAUGCAAAUAAAAAUAGCACAUACAACCUAAGGACAGGUUCUAUUCACUAUGUGAACAUGGGUAGGUUCUCUACCUGGUCUCAAAAGGGUCUCAUAUCUGCCCAGUGACGUUCUUCGUAAAGACAGUAUGGGGGCGUUGCAAGGAAUAGUUAAGGUACGUCUACCCACCAUUACCAAGCAGGCACUCAGAUAUGAGUUCGGCUUUUCACGCAUCUGAACCCUGACCAAUAGUCAUAGGGCAGAUCGCUAAUUCACCACCUAACUUAGAAGCUUGUGUGUGCUUUAAAAAAUAAAUACAGGUGAUGCAUGCAACAAUUCUAAAAAUACAUGGAUAAAACAAAAAUAAAACAAUACAAAAAUGCAAAAACUUAAACACAUCAAAUACACAAAGCUUAGUCCAAUAUUGUCAGAAACAGUACCUUCCCCAGUGGAGUCGCCAUUCUGUCGCACGUCAGAAAAGCCGCGCGGCAUCGGCUGGCGAUUUUCUCGUUGUUGUUUGAUUUGCUUGAAUUGGUUCGUUGGAGUCGCCACCUAGUAUUUAAUUAAAGGUUACUAGGAAACCUGGAUAUACUGGUCUUGUUAGAGAUUCGCGGGUAAGGGACUGGUUGUGGUUAAGGAAGGUAUUCGCACCCCUAACACACCCUACCUGAGGUAAGCUGCUUCGUGACUUUGAUGUGUUAAAGAAGUUUUAAUAAUUGUCUUUUCAUCGGAUAUUAGAAAUACAACUUACAUGUAAGUUAAUAAAUCUUGACCGUGAUCCAAUCAAAAUAUUAAAUUCUUCUUUAAUCUUUGCAAUUUUAUUUAUAUAAAAAAAUAAUACAUAAAACAAAUACAAACACACACAUACACUUUCACUAUAUCUUUUCUUUUCUUUUUUUCUUUUCCCUUUUUCUUUUCUUUUCUUUUUUCUUUUACAUCCACAUUACAAAUUAUAAAAAUUCAACAACUAAACAAACAUUACAUCAAACACUAUAGAAAUUACAAAACAGACCCCCACAGAUCCUUUACAGUGCAGGGAAGCCUUUUGGACCCGUAUGAACAGUGGUGGCGCGUCUUCCCACGCGCCACCGUCACUGGCGGCGCGUGGGUUCACGCGCCGCCGCACAAAACUUGGAAGCCGGGUGGAUCUGGCUCAGUUUCAUCUCCUCUUCCCUUCUCUGCUGGUGGUGACAACGCCGUUACCUGCAAAACACCCAAAACGCAACAAGCAAGUCUGUUUCUCUCCUUAGAUCUGUUUCUUCCUCUUUCGGAUCUGCUUCUCUCUUUCUUCAGAUGGCAGAUCCGUUGUGAGGGGGGGAGGCCACUGUGUUAGGCCGCGAUGGUGUGCAGGCGCUGCUGGAGGAAGGAGGCGGACCGAUUUGGGUUCUGUGGGCGCAGCUGUACCGGGUUUGUUCGUUGACCCGGAGAGGGAGGCCGUUGGGUCGGCUGAGAGAGGAGAGGAGCCUGGUGAGGGGGCGGCCGGCUUGAUCUCGGCGAGCUGGGGCUGUUGAAGCUGUGGUGAAGAUCUGUUUGAGGAGAGGGUCUUGGCUGGGCGUCUGCUGUGAGCGGCUGGAGGAGCAGAGGAGGAAGUGGCCUUGUGGGGGGAGCUGUGAGGGUGGUCUCUUGUGGGUGCUCCGGUUUGUUGCAAUGGGAGGGGGGAUGCGUUGUUGGCUGGAAAAGGAGAAGAAGAUGGGGAAAACGGUGUGGAGAGAGCUGCUGUUUGGGGGGGCUGUGGCCGAAAGAGGUUGAUGUGGGUGUGGUCGGCAAAGGGAGAAGGGGAGCUCUGGUUUCCUUACCAAGGGAAGGGAGGCGGCUUCAAGAAGAUGAGAGGACAGGGAGGGGGCUGCCCCCGGUUUGGUUUUGAAAGAGAGGGAGCUAUCCCUUGUUCCCGGCUGCCGAGGUGAAGAAGAAAAUCAAAGGGGAGGGGCGGCCAGCCUCUGUAAACAGGGAAAGGGAGGCUUGCGGCCGCCCCUGCUCCCUCUGGUUUUUUCUCAAUGGGAAUGGGGGGCGCCGCUCCUUGCCAAAAAAAACAGGUUUAGGGUUAGGGUUUUCUUUUUUGUAUUUUUCUGAUGUUUCCAAAAUUGACCCCCC
This 9420-nucleotide long non-coding RNA is filed under the name Populus trichocarpa (black cottonwood). Its description in RNAcentral is "long non-coding RNA (PTRI_LNC002911)". The record is from RNAcentral. Lineage: Eukaryota; Viridiplantae; Streptophyta; Magnoliopsida; Malpighiales; Salicaceae.